UCUUGACAUCCAGCGAAUUCGGUAGAGAUACCUUAGUGCCUUCGGGAACGCUGAGACAGGUGCUGCAUGGCUGUCGUCAGCUCGUGUUGUGAAAUGUCGGGUUAAGUCCCGNAACGAGCGCAACCCUUAUCCUUUGUUGCCAGCGGUCCGGCCGGGAACUCAAAGGAGACUGCCAGUGAUAAACUGGAGGAAGGUGGGGAUGACGUCAAGUCAUCAUGGCCCUUACGAGUAGGGCUACACACGUGCUACAAUGGCGCAUACAAAGAGAAGCGACCUCGCGAGAGCAAGCGGACCUCAUAAAGUGCGUCGUAGUCCGGAUUGGAGUCUGCAACUCGACUCCAUGAAGUCGGAAUCGCUAGUAAUUGUAGAUCAGAAUGCUACGGUGAAUACGUUCCCGGGCCUUGUACACACCGCCCGUCACACCAUGGGAGUGGGUUGCAAAAGAAGUAGGUAGUUUAACCUUCGGGAGGGCGCUUACCACUUUGUGAUUCAUGACUGGGGUGAAGUCGUAACAAGGUAAGCGUAGACGU
RNAcentral lists this ribosomal RNA (530 nucleotides) under uncultured bacterium. RNAcentral describes it as "bacterial SSU rRNA". It matches the Rfam family "Bacterial small subunit ribosomal RNA", at positions 979 to 1509 of the family's 1533-position model. The record is from RNAcentral.